Molecule: ribosomal RNA, 2902 nt
Filed under: Klebsiella pneumoniae
Lineage: Bacteria; Pseudomonadati; Pseudomonadota; Gammaproteobacteria; Enterobacterales; Enterobacteriaceae
Description: 23S ribosomal RNA
Rfam family: Bacterial large subunit ribosomal RNA
Source: RNAcentral
GGUUAAGCGACUAAGCGUACACGGUGGAUGCCCUGGCAGUCAGAGGCGAUGAAGGACGUGCUAAUCUGCGAAAAGCGUCGGUAAGGUGAUAUGAACCGUUACAGCCGGCGAUGUCCGAAUGGGGAAACCCAGUGCAAUUCGUUGCACUAUCGUUAACUGAAUACAUAGGUUAACGAAGCGAACCGGGGGAACUGAAACAUCUAAGUACCCCGAGGAAAAGAAAUCAACCGAGAUUCCCCCAGUAGCGGCGAGCGAACGGGGAGCAGCCCAGAGUCUGAAUCAGCUUGUGUGUUAGUGGAACGGUCUGGAAAGUCCGACGGUACAGGGUGAUAGUCCCGUACACCAAAAUGCACAGGCUGUGAACUCGAAGAGUAGGGCGGGACACGUGGUAUCCUGUCUGAAUAUGGGGGGACCAUCCUCCAAGGCUAAAUACUCCUGACUGACCGAUAGUGAACCAGUACCGUGAGGGAAAGGCGAAAAGAACCCCGGCGAGGGGAGUGAAAAAGAACCUGAAACCGUGUACGUACAAGCAGUGGGAGCACCUUCGGGUGUGACUGCGUACCUUUUGUAUAAUGGGUCAGCGACUUAUAUUCUGUAGCAAGGUUAACCGUAUAGGGGAGCCGCAGGGAAACCGAGUCUUAACUGGGCGUUAAGUUGCAGGGUAUAGACCCGAAACCCGGUGAUCUAGCCAUGGGCAGGUUGAAGGUUGGGUAACACUAACUGGAGGACCGAACCGACUAAUGUUGAAAAAUUAGCGGAUGACUUGUGGCUGGGGGUGAAAGGCCAAUCAAACCGGGAGAUAGCUGGUUCUCCCCGAAAGCUAUUUAGGUAGCGCCUCGUGAACUCAUCUUCGGGGGUAGAGCACUGUUUCGGCUAGGGGGUCAUCCCGACUUACCAACCCGAUGCAAACUACGAAUACCGAAGAAUGUUAUCACGGGAGACACACGGCGGGUGCUAACGUCCGUCGUGAAGAGGGAAACAACCCAGACCGCCAGCUAAGGUCCCAAAGUCAUGGUUAAGUGGGAAACGAUGUGGGAAGGCACAGACAGCCAGGAUGUUGGCUUAGAAGCAGCCAUCAUUUAAAGAAAGCGUAAUAGCUCACUGGUCGAGUCGGCCUGCGCGGAAGAUGUAACGGGGCUAAACCAUGCACCGAAGCUGCGGCAGCGACACUAUGUGUUGUUGGGUAGGGGAGCGUUCUGUAAGCCUGCGAAGGUGACCUGUGAGGGUUGCUGGAGGUAUCAGAAGUGCGAAUGCUGACAUAAGUAACGAUAAAGCGGGUGAAAAGCCCGCUCGCCGGAAGACCAAGGGUUCCUGUCCAACGUUAAUCGGGGCAGGGUGAGUCGACCCCUAAGGCGAGGCCGAAAGGCGUAGUCGAUGGGAAACAGGUUAAUAUUCCUGUACUUGGUGUUACUGCGAAGGGGGGACGGAGAAGGCUAUGUUAGCCGGGCGACGGUUGUCCCGGUUUAAGCAUGUAGGCUGGUUGUCCAGGCAAAUCCGGAUAAUCAAGGCUGAGGUGUGAUGACGAGGCACUACGGUGCUGAAGUAACAAAUGCCCUGCUUCCAGGAAAAGCCUCUAAGCAUCAGGUAACAUCAAAUCGUACCCCAAACCGACACAGGUGGUCAGGUAGAGAAUACCAAGGCGCUUGAGAGAACUCGGGUGAAGGAACUAGGCAAAAUGGUGCCGUAACUUCGGGAGAAGGCACGCUGGUGUGUAGGUGAAGCCCCUGCGGGUGGAGCUGAGACCAGUCGAAGAUACCAGCUGGCUGCAACUGUUUAUUAAAAACACAGCACUGUGCAAACACGAAAGUGGACGUAUACGGUGUGACGCCUGCCCGGUGCCGGAAGGUUAAUUGAUGGGGUUAUCCGUAAGGAGAAGCUCUUGAUCGAAGCCCCGGUAAACGGCGGCCGUAACUAUAACGGUCCUAAGGUAGCGAAAUUCCUUGUCGGGUAAGUUCCGACCUGCACGAAUGGCGUAAUGAUGGCCAGGCUGUCUCCACCCGAGACUCAGUGAAAUUGAACUCGCUGUGAAGAUGCAGUGUACCCGCGGCAAGACGGAAAGACCCCGUGAACCUUUACUAUAGCUUGACACUGAACAUUGAGCCUUGAUGUGUAGGAUAGGUGGGAGGCUUUGAAGCGUGGACGCCAGUCUGCGUGGAGCCAACCUUGAAAUACCACCCUUUAAUGUUUGAUGUUCUAACGUUGGCCCCUUACCGGGGUUGCGGACAGUGUCUGGUGGGUAGUUUGACUGGGGCGGUCUCCUCCCAAAGCGUAACGGAGGAGCACGAAGGUUAGCUAAUCCUGGUCGGACAUCAGGAGGUUAGUGCAAUGGCAUAAGCUAGCUUGACUGCGAGCGUGACGGCGCGAGCAGGUGCGAAAGCAGGUCAUAGUGAUCCGGUGGUUCUGAAUGGAAGGGCCAUCGCUCAACGGAUAAAAGGUACUCCGGGGAUAACAGGCUGAUACCGCCCAAGAGUUCAUAUCGACGGCGGUGUUUGGCACCUCGAUGUCGGCUCAUCACAUCCUGGGGCUGAAGUAGGUCCCAAGGGUAUGGCUGUUCGCCAUUUAAAGUGGUACGCGAGCUGGGUUUAGAACGUCGUGAGACAGUUCGGUCCCUAUCUGCCGUGGGCGCUGGAGAAUUGAGGGGGGCUGCUCCUAGUACGAGAGGACCGGAGUGGACGCAUCACUGGUGUUCGGGUUGUCAUGCCAAUGGCACUGCCCGGUAGCUAAAUGCGGAAGAGAUAAGUGCUGAAAGCAUCUAAGCACGAAACUUGCCCCGAGAUGAGUUCUCCCUGAGACUUUAAGUCUCCUGAAGGAACGUUGAAGACGACGACGUUGAUAGGCCGGGUGUGUAAGCGCAGCGAUGCGUUGAGCUAACCGGUACUAAUGAACCGUGAGGCUUAACCUU